UAGGAUAAUAGUUAAUUAUAACAUUUAACUUGCACUUAAAAGGUAUUGAAAUUUAUCAAUUUAUCUU
Molecule: transfer RNA, 67 nt
Filed under: Lamiinae sp. 4 ACP-2013
Lineage: Eukaryota; Metazoa; Arthropoda; Insecta; Coleoptera; Cerambycidae
Description: tRNA-Ala
Source: RNAcentral